AGAGUUUGAUCAUGGCUCAGGACGAACGCUGGCGGCGUGCUUAACACAUGCAAGUCGAACGGAAAGGCCCCUUCGGGGGUACUCGAGUGGCGAACGGGUGAGUAACACGUGGGUGAUCUGCCCUGCACUUUGGGAUAAGCCUGGGAAACUGGGUCUAAUACCGAAUAGGACCACGCGCUUCAUGGUGUGUGGUGGAAAGCUUUUGCGGUGUGGGAUGGGCCCGCGGCCUAUCAGCUUGUUGGUGGGGUAAUGGCCUACCAAGGCGACGACGGGUAGCCGGCCUGAGAGGGUGACCGGCCACACUGGGACUGAGAUACGGCCCAGACUCCUACGGGAGGCAGCAGUGGGGAAUAUUGCACAAUGGGCGCAAGCCUGAUGCAGCGACGCCGCGUGAGGGAUGACGGCCUUCGGGUUGUAAACCUCUUUCAAUAGGGACGAAGCGCAAGUGACGGUACCUAUAGAAGAAGCACCGGCCAACUACGUGCCAGCAGCCGCGGUAAUACGUAGGGUGCGAGCGUUGUCCGGAAUUACUGGGCGUAAAGAGCUCGUAGGUGGUUUGUCGCGUUGUUCGUGAAAACUCACAGCUUAACUGUGGGCGUGCGGGCGAUACGGGCAGACUAGAGUACUGCAGGGGAGACUGGAAUUCCUGGUGUAGCGGUGGAAUGCGCAGAUAUCAGGAGGAACACCGGUGGCGAAGGCGGGUCUCUGGGCAGUAACUGACGCUGAGGAGCGAAAGCGUGGGGAGCGAACAGGAUUAGAUACCCUGGUAGUCCAA
RNAcentral lists this ribosomal RNA (775 nucleotides) under uncultured bacterium. RNAcentral's name for it is "bacterial SSU rRNA". It matches the Rfam family "Bacterial small subunit ribosomal RNA", at positions 8 to 798 of the family's 1533-position model. The record is from RNAcentral.